Long non-coding RNA from Lolium rigidum, 429 nucleotides. RefSeq lists it as uncharacterized. NCBI's taxonomy places the organism in Eukaryota, Viridiplantae, Streptophyta, Magnoliopsida, Poales, Poaceae. The record is from RefSeq and is a predicted model, not a curated record. The transcript is spliced from 4 exons.
UCUAGACAAAUUGUUUAUGGGUUGCCGCUCGUUUUGCUGCUGCUGCUCAUGUUCAUCCUGCCCUGCAUUCAUUCAGUGGAGGACCACAUUUGAUGAACGAGGUCAACAAGCCAGGCCAAUGAAGGCAGCGUGAAAGGAGGUUUAACUAGGCAUUAAUUGGUCUCUGAAUUGGUAAAGGCGAUUGACUUGCAGCUAUUUCAUUUUUAGCAACAUGGCGAGGAAGGGACUAAUGGCGCUACAUCACUCCAGCCUUUAUCCACUAGCGUUGGAUGGACCAAUUUUCCUCCCUCUGCUAGCCCAUGGUGCUUCAUCCAUUUUUAUAUGGGUAUACAUGGUGCUUGAUGAAAAUCCUAGCUAAGAUAACGAAAAAGGAGUUUGCAUAUAAAUGAGAAUUCCUCAUAUCUUGCCAAUACGUGAAUGCCAUGUGAG